GUCGCGCUGGCCGAGUUGGCCGGGCGCCACGAGGUUCUGCGCACCUCGGUGACGGUGGUGGACGGACGUCCGUUCCAGACGGUGCACGAGUCC
This 93-nucleotide transfer RNA is filed under the name Actinomadura citrea. Its description in RNAcentral is "tRNA-Ala". The record is from RNAcentral. Lineage: Bacteria; Bacillati; Actinomycetota; Actinomycetes; Streptosporangiales; Thermomonosporaceae.